UGUGAUGAUUCUGCCAAAUGAUACAUAGU
Molecule: non-coding RNA, 29 nt
Filed under: Cricetulus griseus (Chinese hamster)
Lineage: Eukaryota; Metazoa; Chordata; Mammalia; Rodentia; Cricetidae
Source: RNAcentral